This 71-nucleotide transfer RNA is filed under the name Ovis aries (sheep). It matches the Rfam family "tRNA". From Rfam's summary of the family: Transfer RNA (tRNA) molecules are approximately 80 nucleotides in length. Their secondary structure includes four short double-helical elements and three loops (D, anti-codon, and T loops). Lineage: Eukaryota; Metazoa; Chordata; Mammalia; Artiodactyla; Bovidae. The record is from Rfam by way of RNAcentral.
UCACUAGUGGCUCAGUGGUUAAGAAUCUGCUUGUAAAGCAGGAGGCUCAGGUUUGAUCCCUGGGUUGGGAA